AUGUGUACUGAAUAACUUGAAAAAAAUCUGAAUAUAGAUUAUUUUUCCUUUCUACAAUUUGAUCUGUGUCAAGUGUGUUAUUGUGGGUCGGAAGGGUAAUUAGUAUCUACUACCGCAUUCCUCCUGUACAAACCUUGAGUAUAAAGAAAGAAGUUCACAUUGCGAGCUUAGUUGACCUCCCACCUAGGGUUAUCCAGGUAGGCAGGGUUACACUGUGAAAAGAAAAAAUAUUUUUUUUAACUGUUUUAUUUAAAUUUCUAAUAAUAAAAAGAAAAGAAAAGAGCGAAAAGAGCGUUGGUCCCAUCCCAUCAUCCCCAUACAGCCAAACUUUUUGCCGUGGAGAAGAGAGAUGUUGCAGUGUUUUGCACUCAUAAAACCGAAAAUGCCUCCAGGAUGUGUUUGUAAAAAGGAACUGAAUGAGAGAAGUCAAUGAAGGCUGGUGCAGACUGUGGAAAGUACAUCCCACAGGACAUCUAAGGCUUCAGGCUGACCUGGAGCAAUCUGGUGGUGGUUUCAGCUUGUGCAGGCCACUGCAAUCAGAACUUCGUGGGUGAAGAGAGAAAGAUGAGUUGAGGCUGUACUUGAGGAGGAAUGAACGGCAGGUAGAGAAGACGUAUGGGCUGAAAGAAAGAAACACUCGGAAUCCACCAGGUUUGUCUGGUAUUCAGCAGGAGAAGGAACCUCUGCGGCACACCACAUAAAACAUUCAUAGCGGUGUUGGGAUGCAGAGUUUUCUUCUGGAUUAUUUAUCAAAUAGUGAGAUGUUGCUUAUUACAAAGCCAAUAGUGCUCUGCUCAUGUGAGAGUCUCACACAUGCUGCUUCUUUCUUUUUAUUAAUGUAGGAAUAUCAAUUUGCCCUUUAAUAUAUUUCCCACAAAACAGUGCUACGCUCCCCUUCUGUCUA
This is a long non-coding RNA of Oryzias latipes (Japanese medaka), 904 nucleotides long. RefSeq lists it as uncharacterized. Lineage: Eukaryota; Metazoa; Chordata; Actinopteri; Beloniformes; Adrianichthyidae. The record is from RefSeq and is a predicted model, not a curated record.